ACCAACACGAAAUUCGUGGGGAAAUUAGUUUCUAGAAUCACGAAUCUCCAUUGCUUCGAUGAUUCGUUUAAUUUUUUUUUCUUUUUUUUUCAGUUAUUCGACUUAUGUGGAACACGUAAAUUGGAAAGAUCCUCAUGGGGGCCACGAAGCCAAUUUCAUCCUCGCGCCCUCGUGGUUCGUGGAUCUACAUAUUAGCGAGUUUAUCGCAUUCCAGGAAUUAAAUAUCUCCCUCUAGAUACAAUACUGUAGGCUACUUUACUAGCGUGUUGCUCGCCUAACACGCGAACCGUGCUGUUGCAGCAUCCUCGGAGUUACCGCUAACUCGAUUCGUGAUAUUACAAGAUGAUCGGUGUUUUCGUGUGUUCCAUGAACGCGAUAAUUAGAGAGCCGGUCGUGAUUUCGAAUAACAGUUGCGUUUAACUAGGUUAAUCGCCGUUUAAGUGAAUCGAAAGAUUUUUAUUUUUAUCUAUUCGAGAUUAGAAAAGAAUAAAAGAAUUAAGAGCCAAUCGUAUCGUAAAAUAUUCAACACAACGAACGUUGCAAAGUUCUGCGUGCUAAUCUAUGAUUUUCAUAGAUCAAGAAAUCGAGUAACAAAAAGAAAAAGGAAAAAGAAAGUGUAAAACGAAUUUUAUAAGCGAACGAUAAGGAUUAAUUGUACCGUGAACGAGGUGUUCCUUCGAAAGGGGUUAAUUAAACGAAGGUGAAAAUCCUUUGUCCGAUUGAUAAAAGGAUUGCUGACCGAGGUCAGAUUAAUACGACCCCUUGGACGCGUUCGCGUUUAGAUUCAUCAUUCGAUGGCGACAAUAGCGAGUACGCGGGUUCCUCGGGAGGAGGAAUGGGGGAGAGGAAGACAGAAAGGAAACGGACGAAACGAAAUGACAUAAUAAGACUCGUGGCAACGGCGCUAAUGAUUAUAAAUGGGCGAGGGCCUGCGUGUAUUUGCGGCGACCAAAAGGACAAGGCGGACGGAUGAUCGAUCGCUUCCCCCGAUUCCGCUUGAUUUCGAUUUAGGAAACAUCGGUCGCGCGGCCGAAUUCUUGGCCAACUUUCGAUCGAACAUCCCGAUUCUAUAUUUUAGUACAUAACCUGUAAGAUCGUGGCGCGAAUGAAUUCCAUAACAUUUGGAUUUUUCAAACUAAAUUCGAUAUGAAAAAUUAAGCGGUCAUCAUAAGAUUAGGAAAGUAAACGAAAAGUUUCAUCGAAGGAUUAUAAUUAGAUUUUGUGGUAAAAGUAGAUAUCAACGAUCAAAAUGACUCGAGAGUCGGAAAUGUACACAUUGAAAAAACAUGUCAAAACGAUGCACAUCCCGAAAGAUUUGCAUAUAAAUAAAAGUUGGCAGUUUUUAAGAAAAGACACCGCCGAUCAUAUCGGCGGGCCGGGAUACACUGCUAUUCCAUACUUCUUCGAUGCGAAGGCUUAUCAAAUCGGUCAUAUCUUCGUCCAAGAAGCUUCUAAUGUAAAUUUCGAGAAACGAGCUCGAGAAAUCCAUCCCCUCCAGCGAUCCUAUCCUAUAUAAUUUCCUGUUGCAUUAUAGAUACAGUGCUUCUGCGUCGAACCACAAAUGAAAUUGCUCGGUCCAAUUCGAGAUUUCGUUCUGAGCUCGAAGACUAACAAGCGAUGGAUGGAAAAAGAUCUUCCUCUUAUUACGACCACCGGCGAUAACACAAAUUUUCGAGUAAUUUUCUACUCAUUCAGAAAACUAUCGACCCUCUAAAUUAGUAACACAGCUUGCGUUAUGAUUAUAAAAGGUAAUUAUCGAAAAUGAGAAGCACAAGGUACAACUGAGAGCGAACGAAUGCUAUUUUCUGGACAAGGCGCCCGAUUUACAGAUCGUGGGAAAUGUGACCAUAGAUCGCUCGUCUCAUGAAGAAUUUGCAUCGGCGGAUUGGUUCGGUCUGAUUACCGGGGCAGUUAUGGCCACUUCCUCAGACCUGUUCAUUCAGCGAAAUUCAGAUGAGAGGACAUUUUUCAUAGGCGAUAGACACGCCCUCCUCUUUAAAUACGAGAUUUGCAAGAUGGACAGAAAUGGAACCGUGCAGGAGACCACGACCACGGAAAUUGAGUGCAAAUGGCUGCCGAUAAAGGAUGUAGACCUGUUGCCACUCAAUCAAUUGGUGAGUCAAUCGAAAUACAAGAGAUCAUAAAUUUUAUGAGUUGCCGUUUAAUUGGAAUAUAUAAUCCUCUACUCAUUUAUUUGUAAACGAAAAAUUACAAGUGUUCGGAUAAGAAAGAUUAAAAUUAAAUCAAUAAGGUUAAUGGUAACAAAAA
Molecule: long non-coding RNA, 2268 nt
Organism: Apis cerana (Asiatic honeybee)
Lineage: Eukaryota; Metazoa; Arthropoda; Insecta; Hymenoptera; Apidae
Source: RefSeq, a predicted model, not a curated record